UGUCAGAUCUAAUGCUUUGAGGAAAGGCUAAUACAACAACUGGGUGUCUAAGUGACAACCACAAUCAGCAUCUUUUCCUCCCCAGAACUGCUCAGCGUGCACUCCGUGGAACUGUCAAUCAAGCCUCUUUUUCACAGGAGUGGGCACAAACUCUGGGCUGGCUCAUCAGAGCACCCAAAUUCACUGGGUACAAAAGAAUUUGGUGCAGAACUGAAGUCCCUGUUACCUUCUUUCAGCUUCAAUGAGUUCUCCAGGUAGUCAUCUGCUGUGAUGUGUCUCCCAUCUGCUUCCAAGGAAAGGUAGAAAUCUCUCAGAGUCCACACUAAGUCUGGACAGAAGCUCACAGCAUCAGCUGCAUCUUCAACUCCAUCAAGAUCAGGUUCAUAAACACAGCUGAUGGAUAGAAGAAUUUUCUCUGGCUUUGGUGCCAUUCUGGAUCAUAAAAGGAUACUGCAACAGAUCAAGAGCCCUCUGG
Long non-coding RNA from Myotis myotis, 475 nucleotides. RefSeq lists it as uncharacterized. The record is from RefSeq and is a predicted model, not a curated record. NCBI's taxonomy places the organism in Eukaryota, Metazoa, Chordata, Mammalia, Chiroptera, Vespertilionidae. The transcript has 4 exons.